This 58-nucleotide transfer RNA is filed under the name Mus musculus (house mouse). It matches the Rfam family "tRNA", at positions 8 to 63 of the family's 71-position model. From Rfam's summary of the family: Transfer RNA (tRNA) molecules are approximately 80 nucleotides in length. The record is from Rfam by way of RNAcentral. Lineage: Eukaryota; Metazoa; Chordata; Mammalia; Rodentia; Muridae.
UAGCUCAGUGGUUAAGAGCACUGACUGUUCUUCCAGAGGUCCUGAGUUCAAAUCUCAG